GCCGGGUGUGGUGGUGCGUGCCUGUAAUCCCAGCUACUCGGGAGGCUGAGCCAGGAGAAUCACUUGAACCCAGGAGACGGAGGUUGCAGUGAGCCGAGAUCACGCCACUGUACUCCAGCCUGGGCAACAGAGUGAGACUCUGUCUCUA
Molecule: unclassified non-coding RNA, 148 nt
Organism: Macaca mulatta (Rhesus monkey)
Lineage: Eukaryota; Metazoa; Chordata; Mammalia; Primates; Cercopithecidae
Rfam family: Metazoan signal recognition particle RNA
About the family: The signal recognition particle (SRP) is a universally conserved ribonucleoprotein. It is involved in the co-translational targeting of proteins to membranes.
Source: Ensembl